Molecule: ribosomal RNA, 473 nt
Filed under: uncultured bacterium
Lineage: Bacteria
Description: SSU rRNA
Rfam family: Bacterial small subunit ribosomal RNA
Source: RNAcentral
AGAUUGAACGCUGGCGGCAUGCCUUACACAUGCAAGUCGAACGGCAGCACGGGAGCAAUCCUGGUGGCGAGUGGCGAACGGGUGAGUAAUACAUCGGAACGUGCCCAGUAGUGGGGGAUAACCCGGCGAAAGCCGGACUAAUACCGCAUACGACCUACGGGUGAAAGCAGGGGAUCGCAAGACCUUGCGUUAUUGGAGCGGCCGAUGUCAGAUUAGCUUGUUGGCGGGGUAAAAGCCCACCAAGGCGACGAUCUGUAGCUGGUCUGAGAGGACGACCAGCCACACUGGGACUGAGACACGGCCCAGACUCCUACGGGAGGCAGCAGUGGGGAAUUUUUGGACAAUGGGCGCAAGCCUGAUCCAGCCAUGCCGCGUGCGGGAGAAGGUUUUCGGAUCGUAAACUGCUUUUCUCGGGGAAGAGAACGGACGGUACCCGAGGAAUCAGCCCCGGCUAACUACGUGCCAGCAGCCGC